Molecule: ribosomal RNA, 460 nt
Filed under: uncultured bacterium
Lineage: Bacteria
Description: partial 16S ribosomal RNA
Rfam family: Bacterial small subunit ribosomal RNA
Source: RNAcentral
CCUACGGGUGGCAGCAGUGAGGAAUAUUGGUCAAUGGGCGCGAGCCUGAACCAGCCAAGUCGCGGGAGGGAUGAAGGUUCUAUGGAUCGUAAACCUCUUUUAUAAGGGAAUAAAGUGUGGGACGUGUCCUAUUUUGUAUGUACCUUAUGAAUAAGUAUCGGCUAACUCCGUGCCAGCAGUCGCGGUAAAACGGAGGAUCCGAGCGUUAUCCGGAUUUAUUGGGUUUAAAGGUUGCGUAGGCGGCCUUUUAAGUUAGCGGUGAAAGUCUGUGGCUCAACCAUAGAAUUGCCGUUGAAACUGGGGGGCUUGAGUAUGUUUGAGGCAGGCGGAAGGCGUGGUGUAGCGGUGAAAUGCUUAGCUAUCACGCAGAACCCCGAUUGCGAAGGCAGCCUGCCAAGCCAUGACUGACGCUGAUGCACGAAAGCGUGGGGAUCAAACAGGAUUAGAUACCCCGGUAGUC